Molecule: ribosomal RNA, 279 nt
Filed under: uncultured bacterium
Lineage: Bacteria
Description: partial 16S ribosomal RNA
Rfam family: Bacterial small subunit ribosomal RNA
Source: RNAcentral
UGCCAGCCGCCGCGGUAAGACGAAGGUGGCAAGCGUUGUUCGGAAUCACUGGGCAUAAAGAGCACGUAGGCGGGUGUGUAAGUCGGGUGUGAAAUCCCUCGGCCUAACCGAGGAACUGCGCUCGAUACUGCACACCUUGAGGGCAGGAGGGGAGCGUGGAAUUCCUGGUGGAGCGGUGAAAUGCGUUGAUAUCAGGAGGAACACCGGCGGCGAAGGCGACGCUCUGGCCUGCUUCUGACGCUGAGGUGCGAAAGCCAGGGGAGCAAACGGGAUUAGAUA